CGCCUCUUGAAUAAGUAUAAGAGGUCCAGCCUGCCCAGUGACAUCAGUUCAACGGCCGCGGUAUUCUGACCGUGCGAAGGUAGCGUAAUCACUCGUCUUUUAAAUAAGGACUAGUAUGAAAGGCAUCACGAGAAUCAAACUGUCUCCUUUUUCUGAUCUGUGAAACUAAUCUCCCCGUGAAAAAGCGGGAAUUAUUAUAUAAGACGAGAAGACCCUAUGGAGCUUUAGACAAAGCAAUAAGUGCCCUAUUUUCUUAUUCCAAGAAAAACUAAUCAGCACAUUAUAUCUUAGUCUUCGGUUGGGGCGACCAUGGAGUAAAACCCACCCUCCACGCUGAAUAAGACCUCCUUAAACAGAGAGCAACAGCUCUAUGCAUCAAUAAAUUGACAACACUUGACCCAAUAUUUGAUCAACGAAACAAGUUACCCUAGGGAUAACAGCGCAAUCCACUUCAAGAGCCCUUAUUGACAAGUGGGUUUACGACCUCGAUGUUGGAUCAGGGUACCCCAGUGGUGUAACCGCUACUAAAGGUUUGUUUGUUCAACAAUUAAAACCCUACGUGAUCUGAGU
Molecule: ribosomal RNA, 570 nt
Filed under: Ischnocnema hoehnei (Hoehn's robber frog)
Lineage: Eukaryota; Metazoa; Chordata; Amphibia; Anura; Brachycephalidae
Description: partial 16S ribosomal RNA
Rfam family: Bacterial large subunit ribosomal RNA
Source: RNAcentral